AACGAACGCUGGCGGCGCGCCUAAUACAUGCAAGUCGAGCGAGAAGACGUAGCAAUACGUUUGUAAAGCGGCGAACGGGUGAGGAAUACAUGGGUAACCUACCCUCGAGUGGGGAAUAACUAGCCGAAAGGUUAGCUAAUACCGCGUACGCUCCUUGGACUUCGGUUCAGGGAGGAAAGCGAUACCGUGGGUAUCGCGCUCUUGGAUGGGCUCAUGUCCUAUCAGCUUGUUGGUGAGGUAACGGCUCACCAAGGCUUCGACGGGUAGCUGGUCUGAGAGGACGAUCAGCCACACUGGCACUGCGACACGGGCCAGACUCCUACGGGAGGCAGCAGGUAAGGAAUAUUGCGCAAUGGGCGAAAGCCUGACGCAGCGACGCCGC
RNAcentral lists this ribosomal RNA (382 nucleotides) under uncultured bacterium. RNAcentral describes it as "bacterial SSU rRNA". It matches the Rfam family "Bacterial small subunit ribosomal RNA", at positions 29 to 400 of the family's 1533-position model. The record is from RNAcentral.